GGCAUCCACUGCUUACACCAAAGAUUGGUAGCAAAGCUUUCUAACAAGUCUGAACGUCUACUUCAACAACGAUAACCGUAUGGAUGUUGGCUGCCUGCCAUCUGCUCCUCUCUGGAACGAUUCUACCACAGCUGCAAGUGAAUAAGGAAGUUAGUGUGGUGACAUUGUACAAACUCCACUCUUUUGUGCCCAAGGAAGUAAAUUUUAGCAAGCAAACAAGAAUACUGCAGCUGUUACUAAAAAUUUGCCAUUUCCAAAUGAGUGAUUUUCAAGAGGCAGCAAGUUUUAGUUGUUACAAAUAUAGUGAAGGGGCUGGGCCAAUGACACAUAAAAAAAAAGUAAAACUGUACUGUGAAACAACUUCUUUUGUGAAAACUAACACAUGAACAUUGCACAAACAAGAAUGUAAAAAAUAGGGUUUACAAAGAGAUGGUUGAAAAAUUUCUGGACUUAUUCCAAUUUUGGACCACAGUGUAUUUAUAAAAACCAAGCUGCAAAAUUUGAAAGGAAGUUUCAGAAAAAAAUUCUUCAUUUGAGUGACCAUAUUGUCUAUAGCUACUUUAGACUAAUUGAAGGUAUUUUAAAUCCAGGUUUGCAACUACAGUACAAGAAACAAUAGUACCAAAUAAGGAAAUAUCUAAAAAAGCUUGCCAGCAAAUGGCAUUUCCUGAUGUGAGCAAAAAUCUUAAGUACUAACAUCAAUGCCUUUUGUAGCAAACUGUUUUUAGAUGGAGAAAGCAAGCCAAAUGUGUUUCAUGAAGAUUACUGAUGUUAAUUUAUGUCAAUAAAACAAACUACAUUUGGUGGCAAAAAUACACAAUCCCUUGGAGUCACAACAUGGAUUUAAAAUACCUUCACUGAUUUCAGAAAUAACCAAAGGAAAAAGUAGGCCUCUUGAAAGAAUUGUAUAAGGUGGGAAAAUUUGUGUAAACCAACUGCCAAUAAAAUGGUGGUUCUACUGCGUUCAUUAUUGUUGAUUAUUACCCACAGUGUAAUAUUUUACAGGCAUUGUGUAAUUUUUCUUUCAAGAAAUAUAUGAGUACAUACUGUGCAAAGUA
Schistocerca serialis cubense is the source of this 1058-nucleotide long non-coding RNA. RefSeq lists it as uncharacterized. The record is from RefSeq and is a predicted model, not a curated record. NCBI's taxonomy places the organism in Eukaryota, Metazoa, Arthropoda, Insecta, Orthoptera, Acrididae. The transcript has 2 exons.